RNAcentral lists this ribosomal RNA (440 nucleotides) under Salmonella enterica subsp. enterica serovar Montevideo. Its description in RNAcentral is "bacterial SSU rRNA". It matches the Rfam family "Bacterial small subunit ribosomal RNA", at positions 338 to 795 of the family's 1533-position model. Lineage: Bacteria; Pseudomonadati; Pseudomonadota; Gammaproteobacteria; Enterobacterales; Enterobacteriaceae. The record is from RNAcentral.
CCUACGGGUGGCUGCAGUGGGGAAUAUUGCACAAUGGGGGAAACCCUGAUGCAGCGACGCCGCGUGGAGGAAGAAGGUCUUCGGAUUGUAAACUCCUGUUGUUGAGGAAGAUAAUGACGGUACUCAACAAGGAAGUGACGGCUAACUACGUGCCAGCAGCCGCGGUAAAACGUAGGUCACAAGCGUUGUCCGGAAUUACUGGGUGUAAAGGGAGCGCAGGCGGGAAGACAAGUUGGAAGUGAAAUCCAUGGGCUCAACCCAUGAACUGCUUUCAAAACUGUUUUUCUUGAGUAGUGCAGAGGUAGGCGGAAUUCCCGGUGUAGCGGUGGAAUGCGUAGAUAUCGGGAGGAACACCAGUGGCGAAGGCGGCCUGCUGGGCUCUAACUGACGCUGAGGCUCGAAAGUAUGGGGAGCAAACAGGAUUAGAUACCCUUGUAGUC